UCCAAAUCUUCAUGUUGGAUCAUGGGCAAG
RNAcentral lists this non-coding RNA (30 nucleotides) under Mus musculus (house mouse). The record is from RNAcentral. Lineage: Eukaryota; Metazoa; Chordata; Mammalia; Rodentia; Muridae.